Molecule: ribosomal RNA, 553 nt
Filed under: uncultured bacterium
Lineage: Bacteria
Description: bacterial SSU rRNA
Rfam family: Bacterial small subunit ribosomal RNA
Source: RNAcentral
ACUCCUACGGGAGGCAGCAGUGGGGAAUUUUCCGCAAUGGGCGCAAGCCUGACGGAGCAAGACCGCGUGAGGGAGGAAGGCUCUUGGGUUGUAAACCUCUUUUAUCAGGGAAGAAGAUCUGACGGUACCUGAUGAAUCAGCAUCGGCUAACUCCGUGCCAGCAGCCGCGGUAAUACGGAGGAUGCAAGCGUUAUCCGGAUUUAUUGGGCGUAAAGCGUCCGCAGGUGGUUUUUCAAGUCUGCUGUUAAAGCGCAGAGCUUAACUCUGUAACGGCGGUGGAAACUGAGAGACUAGAGUAUGGUAGGGGUUGCGGGAAUUCCCAGUGUAGCGGUGAAAUGCGUAGAUAUUGGGAAGAACACCAGCGGCGAAAGCGCGCAACUGGGCCAUUACUGACACUCAUGGACGAAAGCUAGGGGAGCGAAAGGGAUUAGAUACCCCUGUAGUCCUAGCUGUAAACGAUGGGUACUAGGUGUUGACCGUAUCGACCCGGUCAGUGCCGUAGCUAACGCGUUAAGUACCCCGCCUGGGGAGUAUGCACGCAAGUGUGAAACUC